RNAcentral lists this ribosomal RNA (200 nucleotides) under Bacillus toyonensis. Its description in RNAcentral is "partial 16S ribosomal RNA". It matches the Rfam family "Bacterial small subunit ribosomal RNA", at positions 1100 to 1301 of the family's 1533-position model. The record is from RNAcentral. Lineage: Bacteria; Bacillati; Bacillota; Bacilli; Caryophanales; Bacillaceae.
AACCCUUGAUUUUAGUUGCCAUCAUUAAGUUGGGCACUUUAAGGUGACUGCCGGUGACAAACCGGAGGAAGGUGGGGAUGAAGUCAAAUCAUCAUGCCCCUUAUGACCUGGGCUACACACGUGGUACAAUGGGCGGUACAAAGAGGUGCAAGACCGCGAGGUGGAGGUAAUUUCAUAAAACCGUUUUCAGUUUGGAUUGU